RNAcentral lists this ribosomal RNA (232 nucleotides) under uncultured bacterium. Its description in RNAcentral is "partial 16S ribosomal RNA". It matches the Rfam family "Bacterial small subunit ribosomal RNA", at positions 15 to 244 of the family's 1533-position model. The record is from RNAcentral.
GAUCAUGGCUCAGAUUGAACGCUGGCGGCAGGCCUAACACAUGCAAGUCGAGCGGUAACACAGGGAGCUUGCUCCUGGGUGACGAGCGGCGGACGGGUGAGUAAUGUCUGGGAAACUGCCUGAUGGAGGGGGAUAACUACUGGAAACGGUAGCUAAUACCGCAUAAUGUCGCAAGACCAAAGAGGGGGGACCUUCGGGCCUCUUGCCAUCAGAUGUGCCCAGAUGGGAUUAG